This is a non-coding RNA of Mycena latifolia, 94 nucleotides long. The record is from the annotation of a GenBank genome assembly. Lineage: Eukaryota; Fungi; Basidiomycota; Agaricomycetes; Agaricales; Mycenaceae.
GGCUUGGUAGCGCCCGGGGCGCGUCUGCAUCCUAUUCUCAGAGUUUGCACAAACGUAGUAGCGGAAGAAGCUCGUUCGACUCGAGCCCAGGCCA